AAUACAUAUAAUCUAAAAUAUUUAAAAAUUAGGCAUAAAUAAUUAUAUAUUUUAAAAUUUUAUUAUAAUUAAAAUAUAAACUUAUGAAUUUACCAUCUUAACCUGAACAGGUGUUAAGAUCAGUAUUAUUGUUUGUAAUCAAAAUUUGCAUAUCUGAUACAAUUGAUCGCAUGUGAAAAUAUAUCUAAAACUUUCUUAUUUAAUUAAUUAAAAUAUAUUAUUAUUUACUUUAUAAAAAAUAUAUUUAAUUAUUUAUUAAUUAUUUAUAAAGAAGGUAAAUGAACCCGUUGUUGCGUAGCACGGGUUCCUUAACUAGUAUUUAUAAUGUUAUGCUUAGGUCAUUCAAUUUAGUGGUUGAUGCACUAUUUGAAUCUGAAUACACCCGUCACAUCAUAGAUGUAAUUGAUGUGAAUAGUGAGAUGGACUUGAGGAAUCUGCGCCAAUAAUUUCCAUGGAACAAAGUCAUGUAUGUAUACUUGUUGACGGUAGUAAAUGAAACCAUUCUCUGUUAUAAUACAUGCUUAGUGCAAUUGCCUAAAAGAGUUUGGUGAUUUAAUUGUAUCAGAAGUUUUAAGUUUAAAAUUUAGUUGUUUCAUAUUUUUAGCUUAGUUUAUUUUAAAAAAAUAAGCGAAGCAUGUAGAACGCUGCAUGCUAUCUUAUGAAGUAAUUAAAUAUAUUAUUUCGGAUUACAUUCCUAGAUUCUUUACCAUCCUGUAUAGCACAAUUGAAUUAUUUUGUACUGUAUGUGUUACAAGAAGAAUUUGAAGGAUUUU
Molecule: long non-coding RNA, 773 nt
Filed under: Ananas comosus (pineapple)
Lineage: Eukaryota; Viridiplantae; Streptophyta; Magnoliopsida; Poales; Bromeliaceae
Description: long non-coding RNA (ACOM_LNC036180)
Source: RNAcentral